CCUACGGUGGGCUGCAGUGAGGAAUAUUGGUCAAUGGGCGAGAGCCUGAACCAGCCAAGUCGCGUGAGGGAAGACGGUCCUAUGGAUUGUAAACCUCUUUUGUCGGGGAGCAAAACGGCCUCGUGCGGCCACACGUUAGAGUACCCGCAGACAAAGCCUCGGCUAACUCCGUGCCAGCAGCCGCGGUAAUACGGAGGAUGCGAGCGUUAUCCGGAUUUAUUGGGUUUAAAGGGUGCGUAGGCGGACUGGAAAGUCAGCGGUAAAAUCGCGAGGCUCAACCUCUUUCCGCCGUUGAAACUGUCGGUCGUGAGUGGGCGAGAAGUAGGCGGAAUGCGUGGUGUAGCGGUGAAAUGCAUAGAUAUCACGCAGAACUCCGAUUGCGAAGGCAGCAUACCGGCGCCCGACUGACGCUGAGGCACGAAAGCGUGGGUAUCGAACAGGAUUAGAUACCCGGGUAGUC
RNAcentral lists this ribosomal RNA (460 nucleotides) under uncultured bacterium. RNAcentral's name for it is "partial 16S ribosomal RNA". It matches the Rfam family "Bacterial small subunit ribosomal RNA", at positions 338 to 795 of the family's 1533-position model. The record is from RNAcentral.